Molecule: ribosomal RNA, 468 nt
Filed under: uncultured bacterium
Lineage: Bacteria
Description: partial 16S ribosomal RNA
Rfam family: Bacterial small subunit ribosomal RNA
Source: RNAcentral
GACGAACGCUGGCGGCGUGCUUAACACAUGCAAGUCGAACGGAAAGGCCCUGCUUUUGUGGGGUGCUCGAGUGGCGAACGGGUGAGUAACACGUGAGUAACCUGCCCUUGACUUUGGGAUAACUUCAGGAAACUGGGGCUAAUACCGGAUAGGAGCUCCUGCUGCAUGGUGGGGGUUGGAAAGUUUCGGCGGUUGGGGAUGGACUCGCGGCUUAUCAGCUUGUUGGUGGGGUAGUGGCUUACCAAGGCUUUGACGGGUAGCCGGCCUGAGAGGGUGACCAGCCACAUUGGGACUGAGAUACGGCCCAGACUCCUACGGGAGGCAGCAGUGGAGAGUAUGACACAAUGGGCGGAAGCCUGAUGCAGCAACGCCGCGUGCGGGAUGACGGCCUUCGGGUUGUAAACCGCUUUCGCCUGUGACGAAGCGUGAGUGACGGUAAUGGGUAAAGAAGCACCGGCUAACUACGUG